RNAcentral lists this ribosomal RNA (173 nucleotides) under uncultured bacterium. Its description in RNAcentral is "partial 16S ribosomal RNA". It matches the Rfam family "Bacterial small subunit ribosomal RNA", at positions 335 to 524 of the family's 1533-position model. The record is from RNAcentral.
ACUCCUACGGGAGGCAGCAGUGAGGAAUAUUCGGCAAUGGGGGCAACCCUGACCGAGCAACGCCGCGUGGAGGAUGACGGUUUUCGGAUUGUAAACUCCUUUUCUCAGGGAAGAGCGAGGACGGUACCUGAGGAAUAAGUCACGGCUAACUACGUGCCAGCAGCCGCGGUAAU